Non-coding RNA from Caenorhabditis elegans, 80 nucleotides. NCBI's taxonomy places the organism in Eukaryota, Metazoa, Nematoda, Chromadorea, Rhabditida, Rhabditidae. The record is from Ensembl.
GUAACAGUGAUCGAGAGUCGGGUGCUAGACUGUAAGUGAGGAAUAACAUUACCUGACAAUGCUGCCUUCCUUCUGAGUUA